This 448-nucleotide ribosomal RNA is filed under the name uncultured bacterium. RNAcentral's name for it is "bacterial SSU rRNA". It matches the Rfam family "Bacterial small subunit ribosomal RNA", at positions 329 to 794 of the family's 1533-position model. The record is from RNAcentral.
UCCCAGACUCCUACGGGAGGCAGCAGUGGGGAAUAUUGCACAAUGGGGGAAACCCUGAUGCAGCGACGCCGCGUGAGUGAAGAAGUAUUUCGGUAUGUAAAGCUCUCUCAGCAGGGAAGAUAAUGACGGUACCUGAGUAAGAAGCCCCGGCUAACUACGUGCCAGCAGCCGCGGUAAUACGUAGGGGGCAAGCGUUAUCCGGAUUUACUGGGUGUAAAGGGAGCGUAGACGGCAUGGCAAGUCUGAAGUGAAAGCCCGGGGCUCAACCGCGGGACUGCUUUGGAAACUGUUAAGCUGGAGUGCAGGAGAGGUAAGUGGAAUUCCUAGUGUAGCGGUGAAAUGCGUAGAUAUUAGGAGGAACACCAGUGGCGAAGGCGGCUUACUGGACUGUAACUGACGUUGAGGCUCGAAAGCGUGGGGAGCAACCAGGAUUAGAUGCCCGCGUAGC